Molecule: long non-coding RNA, 1457 nt
Filed under: Ursus maritimus (polar bear)
Lineage: Eukaryota; Metazoa; Chordata; Mammalia; Carnivora; Ursidae
Description: lncRNA (ENSUMAG00000004839.1)
Source: RNAcentral
GAUUCUAAUAGUUUCACUUUAUCCACAGGAAACACUACUCUUGCUCACCUUUCACAUAAAGCACUGAAAAACAAACAAACAAAAAAACCCCCCAAAAGCAGCCGCUCUGAAUGUGACCAAUGUGUGACUCUGGGAGACAGGCCCCCGGCCGCCCCUCAAAGCACUGUGUCCUCAGGGCUCUGCACCGUCACUCUUAGCUUCUGUGGCUUUUAAGGGCUCAAGCAACAUUUCCAGGGAUUAGGGACCCAACUGUCCUCACACCCAAAGGGACACUGUGCCAAAGGUUUAAACACUCAGGAGACCCUCGGCCCCUCCUGGAGCCACAGCUGGUCCCCGGCCUCCAUGGAGAGUUGCACAGGCCAGAGUCAGUGAUCCCAGCUUCUGCGCGUGGAGAGAAAGGGCCCCCUCUGCCCAAGGGGGGUCAGGCGUCUGGGUGACCAUGAGCCGGGAUGUCCUGGCCAGACCCUCUGAGUCCUCAGGCUGCGAGGCCCUCUUCCCAAGAAAAGGAGGCCACAGGGCCAUCGUGAGAGUCAGGGUGCCCCGGCAUGGGGGUGGGGGGGCUCCUGAAGCCCCAGCCAGCCUCUUCCCAUCAGGCCUCUGUCCCUUCCUGCCCCAGUAAAUUUGGGGCUGCUCCAACACGCAGCAAUUUCGGAGGGGCCUCUAGCUACACUUUCUUCCUGGCCCUUCCAUCUGGGAAGUUCUGUCCUCGUGCAAAGCCCUUCACUCAGGCCCCUCAGUAGUUGAAAACAUCGGCCAAGAAAUCAGAAAUGAAGAUGCUCGGGGAAACCAAAGCCACCACACAGAGGACGCGUCCUGAAGGCGCUGUCUGCGCGGACGACGACACCGUGACCACAAAGCGGCACUGUGCGUGGCCCUUAGGACUCGCUACUCAGCGGCUGGGCUGUCUGUGUGUGUAAGCAAGAGCUUCCGCCUCAUUCUCAGACACGUUUACUAAUGAUCGUCAACAGGACACACCCAGCCACGCACACCGCGGCACGCACGAGACUCUCCAAGGACGCAUCGUCUGUGACAGCAACAGCAAGGCAGACGGUGUCACAGGGGGUGGCAGGAAGGAGCGCACACCCACACACCAGAAGACGGGGCAGCGGAACCCGGUUGUACGUGUUUCUGGAUGAGGACACAGGAAGCCUCACAAUGGCUGCCCCUGGAAAUGGGGUUGGGGAACCUGUCCGGGCUUUGGAGGCGGUGCCAGGGUAUACCCUUCUAUACGAUAGAAUUCUUUUUAUUACACGCCAGUUUAACUUUUAAAAUUUGAAAACAGGGGCACCUGUUGGCUCAGGUCAUGCUCCCAGGGUGCUGGGUUCGAGCCCCACAUGGGGCUCUCUGCUCAGCAGGGAGUCUACUUCUCCCUCUGCCUGCUGCUCCCCCUGCUUGUGCUCUCUCUCUUGCUCACUCUCCCUCUGACAAAUAAAUAAAAUCUUUAAAAUUUGAAAACA